GUAGUCUGCAACUCGACUACAUGAAGCUGGAAUCGCUAGUAAUCGCGGAUCAGAAUGCCGCGGUGAAUACGUUCCCGGGUCUUGUACACACCGCCCGUCACACCAUGGGAGUCAGUAACGCCCGAAGCCGGUGACCCAACCUAUUCUGGAGGGAGCCGUCGAAGGCGGGACGGAUGACUGGGGUGAAGUCGUAACAAGGUACC
Molecule: ribosomal RNA, 203 nt
Filed under: uncultured bacterium
Lineage: Bacteria
Description: partial 16S ribosomal RNA
Rfam family: Bacterial small subunit ribosomal RNA
Source: RNAcentral